Molecule: transfer RNA, 71 nt
Filed under: Fukomys damarensis (Damara mole-rat)
Lineage: Eukaryota; Metazoa; Chordata; Mammalia; Rodentia; Bathyergidae
Rfam family: tRNA
About the family: Transfer RNA (tRNA) molecules are approximately 80 nucleotides in length. Their secondary structure includes four short double-helical elements and three loops (D, anti-codon, and T loops).
Source: Rfam by way of RNAcentral
UGAGGUUUAGCUCAGUGGUAGAGCAUUUGCCUAGCAUACAUAAAGCCUAAGUUCAAUCCUUGGUAGCACAA